CCCUAGCCCUGAUAGUAGCGGAAAUCCUUGUGAGCCGGGGUUCGGCUCACAAGAUUGAAGUGGAUAGCAGGUAAUAGC
Molecule: small RNA, 78 nt
Filed under: Flavobacterium sp. 1
Lineage: Bacteria; Pseudomonadati; Bacteroidota; Flavobacteriia; Flavobacteriales; Flavobacteriaceae
Description: Flavo-1 RNA
Rfam family: Flavo-1 RNA
Source: RNAcentral